UACGAACCGUGCGAAUGUUGUUCGGAAUCACUGGGCUUAAAGGGAGCGUAGGCGGGCUAUCAAGUCUGGGGUGAAAUGCCACGGCUCAACCGUGGAACUGCCUUAGAUACUGACGGCCUCGAGGGAGAUAGGGGCAUGCGGAACUGUAGGUGGAGCGGUGAAAUGCGUUGAUAUCUACAGGAACUCCGGUGGCGAAAGCGGCGUGCUGGAUCUCUUCUGACGCUGAGGCUCGAAAGCUAGGGGAGCAAACGGG
RNAcentral lists this ribosomal RNA (253 nucleotides) under uncultured bacterium. Its description in RNAcentral is "partial 16S ribosomal RNA". It matches the Rfam family "Bacterial small subunit ribosomal RNA", at positions 524 to 776 of the family's 1533-position model. The record is from RNAcentral.